GAGCGGAUGACAGGAGCUUGCUCCUUGAUUCAGCGGCGGACGGGUGAGUAAUACCUAGGAAUCUGCCUGGUAGUGGGGGACAACGUUUCGAAAGGAACGCUAAUACCGCAUACGUCCUACGGGAGAAAGCAGGGGACCUUCGGGCCUUGCGCUAUCAGAUGAGCCUAGGUCGGAUUAGCUAGUUGGUGGGGUAAUGGCUCACCAAGGCGACGAUCCGUAACUGGUCUGAGAGGAUGAUCAGUCACACUGGAACUGAGACACGGUUCAGACUCCUACGGGAGGCAGCAGUGGGGAAUAUUGGACAAUGGGCGAAAGCCUGAUCCAGCCAUGCCGCGUGUGUGAAGAAGGUCUUCGGAUUGUAAAGCACUUUAAGUUGGGAGGAAGGGCAGUAAGUUAAUACCUUGCUGUUUUGACGUUACCGACAGAAUAAGCACCGGCUAACUCUGUG
Molecule: ribosomal RNA, 448 nt
Filed under: uncultured bacterium
Lineage: Bacteria
Description: bacterial SSU rRNA
Rfam family: Bacterial small subunit ribosomal RNA
Source: RNAcentral